CACGUAGGGUGCGAGCGUUGUCCGGAAUUAUUGGGCGUAAAGAGCUCGUAGGCGGUCUGUCGCGUCGGAUGUGAAAACUCGGGGCUCAACCCCGAGCCUGCAUUCGAUACGGGCAGACUAGAGUUCGGUAGGGGAGACUGGAAUUCCUGGUGUAGCGGUGAAAUGCGCAGAUAUCAAGAGGAACACCGGUGGCGAAGGCGGGUCUCUGGGCCGAUACUGACGCUGAGGAGCGAAAGCGUGGGGAGCGAACAGG
RNAcentral lists this ribosomal RNA (253 nucleotides) under uncultured bacterium. RNAcentral's name for it is "partial 16S ribosomal RNA". It matches the Rfam family "Bacterial small subunit ribosomal RNA", at positions 524 to 776 of the family's 1533-position model. The record is from RNAcentral.